UGGCGAACGGGUGAGUAACACGUGAGCAAUCUGCCCCUGACUCUGGGAUAACAGUUGGAAACAGCUGCUAAUACCGGAUACGAGCUGCGAAGGCAUCUUCAGCAGCUGGAAAGAACUUCGGUCAGGGAUGAGCUCGCGGCCUAUCAGCUUGUUGGUGAGGUAAUGGCUCACCAAGGCGUCGACGGGUAGCCGGCCUGAGAGGGUGACCGGCCACACUGGGACUGAGACACGGCCCAGACUCCUACGGGAGGCAGCAGUGGGGAAUAUUGCACAAUGGGCGAAAGCCUGAUGCAGCAACGCCGCGUGAGGGACGACGGCCUUCGGGUUGUAAACCUCUUUUAGCAAGGAAGAAGCGAAAGUGACGGUACUUGCAGAAAAAGCGCCGGCUAACUACGUGCCAGCAGCCGCGGUAAUACGUAGGGCGCAAGCGUUAUCCGGAAUUAUUGGGCGUAAAGAGCUCGUAGGCGGUUUGUCGCGUCUGCUGUGAAAACUGGAGGCUCAACCUCCAGCCUGCAGUGGGUACGGGCAGACUAGAGUGCGGUAGGGGAGAUUGGAAUUCCUGGUGUAGCGGUGGAAUGCGCAGAUAUCAGGAGGAACACCGAUGGCGAAGGCAGAUCUCUGGGCCGUAACUGACGCUGAGGAGCGAAAGGGUGGGGAGCAAACAGGCUUAGAUACCCUGGUAGUCCACCCCGUAAACGUUGGGAACUAGUUGUGGGGGCCAUUCCACGGUCUCCGUGACGCAGCUAACGCAUUAAGUUCCCCGCCUGGGGAGUACGGCCGCAAGGCUAAAACUCAAAGGAAUUGACGGGGACCCGCACAAGCGGCGGAGCAUGCGGAUUAAUUCGAUGCAACGCGAAGAACCUUACCAAGGCUUGACAUAUACGAGAACGCUGCAGAAAUGUAGAACUCUUUGGACACUCGUAAACAGGUGGUGCAUGGUUGUCGUCAGCUCGUGUCGUGAGAUGUUGGGUUAAGUCCCGCAACGAGCGCAACCCUCGUUCUAUGUUGCCAGCACGUAAUGGUGGGAACUCAUGGGAUACUGCCGGGGUCAACUCGGAGGAAGGUGGGGAUGACGUCAAAUCAUCAUGCCCCUUAUGUCUUGGGCUUCACGCAUGCUACAAUGGCCGGUACAAAGGGCUGCAAUACCG
This 1148-nucleotide ribosomal RNA is filed under the name Microbacterium deminutum. Its description in RNAcentral is "bacterial SSU rRNA". It matches the Rfam family "Bacterial small subunit ribosomal RNA", at positions 96 to 1257 of the family's 1533-position model. Lineage: Bacteria; Bacillati; Actinomycetota; Actinomycetes; Micrococcales; Microbacteriaceae. RNAcentral also lists the same sequence under 1 other name. The record is from RNAcentral.